UGGGGAAUUUUGGACAAUGGGCGAAAGCCUGAUCCAGCAAUGCCGCGUGUGUGAAGAAGGCCUUCGGGUUGUAAAGCACUUUUGUCCGGAAAGAAAUCCUUGGCUCUAAUACAGUCGGGGGAUGACGGUACCGGAAGAAUAAGCACCGGCUAACUACGUGCCAGCAGCCGCGGUAAUACGUAGGGUGCAAGCGUUAAUCGGAAUUACUGGGCGUAAAGCGUGCGCAGGCGGUUUGCUAAGACCGAUGUGAAAUCCCCGGGCUCAACCUGGGAACUGCAUUGGUGACUGGCAGGCUAGAGUAUGGCAGAGGGGGGUAGAAUUCCACGUGUAGCAGUGAAAUGCGUAGAGAUGUGGAGGAAUACCGAUGGCGAAGGCAGCCCCCUGGGCCAAUACUGACGCUCAUGCACGAAAGCGUGGGGAGCAAACAGGAUUAGAUACCCUGGUAGUCCACGCCCUAAACGAUGUCAACUAGUUGUUGGGGAUUCAUUUCCUUAGUAACGUAGCUAACGCGUGAAGUUGACCGCCUGGGGAGUACGGUCGCAAGAUUAAAACUCAAAGGAAUUGACGGGGUCU
RNAcentral lists this ribosomal RNA (573 nucleotides) under uncultured bacterium. RNAcentral describes it as "partial 16S ribosomal RNA". It matches the Rfam family "Bacterial small subunit ribosomal RNA", at positions 355 to 921 of the family's 1533-position model. The record is from RNAcentral.